This 253-nucleotide ribosomal RNA is filed under the name uncultured bacterium. RNAcentral describes it as "partial 16S ribosomal RNA". It matches the Rfam family "Bacterial small subunit ribosomal RNA", at positions 524 to 776 of the family's 1533-position model. The record is from RNAcentral.
UACGUAGGUGGCGAGCGUUGUCCGGAUUUACUGGGCGUAAAGAGCGCGCAGGCGGUCGUUCAAGUCGAGUGUGAAAGCCCCCGGCUCAACUGGGGAGGGUCACUCGAUACUGAUCGACUUGAAGGCAGGAGAGGGAAGCGGAAUUCCCGGUGUAGUGGUGAAAUGCGUAGAUAUCGGGAGGAACACCAGUGGCGAAGGCGGCUUCCUGGCCUGUUCUUGACGCUGAGGCGCGAAAGCUAGGGGAGCAAACGGG